This 253-nucleotide ribosomal RNA is filed under the name uncultured bacterium. Its description in RNAcentral is "partial 16S ribosomal RNA". It matches the Rfam family "Bacterial small subunit ribosomal RNA", at positions 524 to 776 of the family's 1533-position model. The record is from RNAcentral.
UACAGAGGGGGCAAGCGUUGUACGGAAUUACUGGGCGUAAAGGGCGCGUAGGCGGCCUUCUAAGUCAUGCGUGAAAUCCCCGGGCUCAACCCGGGAACUGCGUCUGAUACUGGAAGGCUUGAAUCCGGGAGAGGGAUGUGGAAUUCCAGGUGUAGCGGUGAAAUGCGUAGAUAUGACUCGGAAGGCCAACGGCGAAGGCAGGUUACUGGUACGCAACUGACGCUGAGGCACGAAAGCGUGGGGAGCAAACAGG